RNAcentral lists this ribosomal RNA (495 nucleotides) under uncultured bacterium. RNAcentral describes it as "partial 16S ribosomal RNA". It matches the Rfam family "Bacterial small subunit ribosomal RNA", at positions 28 to 507 of the family's 1533-position model. The record is from RNAcentral.
GACGAACGCUGGCGGCGUGCCUAAUACAUGCAAGUCGAACGGUGGAGGAGGAGCUUGCUUCUCUGGAUGAGUUGCGAACGGGUGAGUAACGCGUAGGUAACCUGCCUGGUAGCGGGGGAUAACUAUUGGAAACGAUAGCUAAUACCGCAUAAUAGCAGUUGUUGCAUGACAACUGUUUGAAAGGUGCAAAUGCAUCACUAGCACAUGGAGCUGCGUUGUAUUAGCUAGUUGGUGGGGUAAAGGCUCACUAAGGCGACGAUACAGAGCCGACCUGAGAGGGGGAGCGGCCACACUGGGACUGAGACACGGCCCAUAGGCCUACGGGAGGCAGCAGUAGGGAAUCGGCGGCAAUGGACGGAAGUCUGAGCGAGCUACGCCGCGUGAUUAAAGAAGGUCUUCGGAUCGGAAAUCUCUGUUGUAAGGGAAGAACGAGUGUUAGAGUGUAAAGUUCACACUGUGACGGUAUCUUACCAGAAAGGGACGGCUAACUACGUG